This 460-nucleotide ribosomal RNA is filed under the name uncultured bacterium. Its description in RNAcentral is "partial 16S ribosomal RNA". It matches the Rfam family "Bacterial small subunit ribosomal RNA", at positions 338 to 795 of the family's 1533-position model. The record is from RNAcentral.
CCUACGGGGGGCAGCAGUGAGGAAUAUUGGUCAAUGGACGAGAGUCUGAACCAGCCAAGUAGCGUGAAGGAUGACUGCCCUAUGGGUUGUAAACUUCUUUUAUAUGGGAAUAAAAUGUUCCACGUGUGGGAUUUUGUAUGUAACAUAUGAAUAAGGAUCGGCUAACUCCGUGCCAGCAGCCGCGGUAAUACGGAGGAUCCGAGCGUUAUCCGGAUUUAUUGGGUUUAAAGGGAGCGUAGGUGGAUUGUUAAGUCAGUUGUGAAAGUUUGCGGCUCAACCGUAAAAGUGCAGUUGAAACUGGCAGUCUUGAGUACAGUAGAGGUGGGCGGAAUUCGUGGUGUAGCGGUGAAAUGCUUAGAUAUCACGAAGAACUCCGAUUGCGAAGGCAGUUCACUGGACUGCAACUGACACUGAGGCUCGAAAGUGUGGGUAUCAAACAGGAUUAGAUACCCGGGUAGUC